This 1199-nucleotide ribosomal RNA is filed under the name uncultured Gammaproteobacteria bacterium. RNAcentral's name for it is "bacterial SSU rRNA". It matches the Rfam family "Bacterial small subunit ribosomal RNA", at positions 1 to 1161 of the family's 1533-position model. Lineage: Bacteria; Pseudomonadati; Pseudomonadota; Gammaproteobacteria. The record is from RNAcentral.
UGUGUGCUGCGCGUAUACUCCCUUAGAGUUUGAUCCUGGCUCACAUUGAACGCUGGCGGCAGGCUUAACACAUGCAAGUCGAGCGGAGAUGAGGUGCUUGCACCUUAUCUUAGCGGCGGACGGGUGAGUAAUGCUUAGGAAUCUGCCAUUUAGUGGGGGACAACAUUCCGAAAGGAAUGCUAAUACCGCAUACGUCCUAUGGGAGAAAGCAGGGGAUCUUCGGACCUUGCGCUAAAUGAUGAGCCUAACUCGGAUUAGCCAGUUGGUGGGGUAAAGGCCUACCAAGGCGACGAUCUGUAGCGGGUCUGAGAGGAUGAUCCGCCACACUGGGACUGAAACACGGCCCACACUCCUACGGGAGGCAGCACUGGGGAAUAUUGGACAAUGGGCGGAAGCCUGAUCCAACCAUGCCGCGUGUGUGAAGAAGGCCUUUUGGUGGGAAAGCACUUUAAGCGAGGAGGAGGCUACUAUUACUAAUACUACUGGAUAGUGGACGUUACUCCCACAAUAAGCACCGGCUAACUCUGUGCCAGCAGCCGCGGUAAUACAGAGGGUGCGAGCGUUAAUCGGAUUUACUGGGCAUAAAGCGUGCGAAUGCGGCUUUUUAAGUCGGAUGUGAAAUCCCCUAGCUUAACUUGGGAAUUGCAUUCAAUACUGGGAAGCUAGAGUAUGGGAGAGGAUGGUAGAAUUCCAUGUGUAACGAUGAAAUGCUUACAGAUCUGGAGGAAUACCGAUGGCAAAUGCAGCCAUCUGGCCUAAUACUGACGCUGAGGUACGACAGCAUGGGGAGCAAACGGGAUUAGAUACCCUGGUAGUCCAUGCCUUAAACCAUGUCUAGUACCCGUUGGGACCUUUGAGGCUUUAGUGGCGCAGCUUACGCGAUUAGUAGACCGCCUGGAGAGUACUGACUCAAGACUAAGGCUCGUAUGAAUUGACGGGUGCCCCCCAAAUCAGUGGAGCGUGGUGGCUUCACUUCGAUGCGACGCUGAGGAUCUUAUCCUGGCCUUGACAUACUACCAUACUCUCCACAUGAUGGAUCUGAUGACCCUUCUGGAAAUCUAGAUACGGGUGCUGCAUGGACUGUCGAAUCAGACUUGUGGUCAUGAGAUGUGGCUCAUGUUCGCUCCUAGCGAGUGCUCAAGCUUAGUCCGGACUUGACAGGCCAAUUCUCUGUAUUGGCCGUUAAUUUGUUAGGGCCA